RNAcentral lists this ribosomal RNA (253 nucleotides) under uncultured bacterium. RNAcentral's name for it is "partial 16S ribosomal RNA". It matches the Rfam family "Bacterial small subunit ribosomal RNA", at positions 524 to 776 of the family's 1533-position model. The record is from RNAcentral.
UACGGGGGGGGCAAGCGUUGUUCGGAAUUACUGGGCGUAAAGGGCUCGUAGGCGGCCAACUAAGUCAGACGUGAAAUCCCUCGGCUUAACCGGGGAACUGCGUCUGAUACUGGAUGGCUUGAGAUUGGGAGAGGGAUGCGGAAUUCCAGGUGUAGCGGUGAAAUGCGUAGAUAUCGUAAGGAAGACCAGUGGCGAAGGCGGGUCUCUGGACAGUUCCUGACGCUGAGACGCGAAAGCGUGGGGAGCAAACAGG